GUGGGGAAUAUUGGACAAUGGGCGAAAGCCUGAUCCAGCCAUGCCGCGUGUGUGAAGAAGGUCUUCGGAUUGUAAAGCACUUUAAGUUGGGAGGAAGGGCAGUAAGUUAAUACCUUGCUGUUUUGACGUUACCGACAGAAUAAGCACCGGCUAACUUCGUGCCAGCAGCCGCGGUAAUACGAAGGGUGCAAGCGUUAAUCGGAAUUACUGGGCGUAAAGCGCGCGUAGGUGGUUUUGUAAGUUGGAGGUGAAAUCCCCGGGCUCAACCUGGGAACUGCCUUCAAAACUGCAUGACUAGAGUACGGUAGAGGGUAGUGGAAUUUCCUGUGUAGCGGUGAAAUGCGUAGAUAUAGGAAGGAACACCAGUGGCGAAGGCGACUACCUGGACUGAUACUGACACUGAGGUGCGAAAGCGUGGGGAGCAAACAGGAUUAGAUACCCCGGUAGUCC
RNAcentral lists this ribosomal RNA (450 nucleotides) under uncultured bacterium. RNAcentral's name for it is "partial 16S ribosomal RNA". It matches the Rfam family "Bacterial small subunit ribosomal RNA", at positions 354 to 796 of the family's 1533-position model. The record is from RNAcentral.